RNAcentral lists this ribosomal RNA (251 nucleotides) under uncultured prokaryote. Its description in RNAcentral is "partial 16S rRNA". It matches the Rfam family "Bacterial small subunit ribosomal RNA", at positions 525 to 775 of the family's 1533-position model. The record is from RNAcentral.
GCGGAGGGGGCGAGCGUUAAUCGGAAUCACUGGGCGUAAAGCGCACGUAGGCGGUGUCGUAAGUAGGAUGUGAAAGCACUCGGCUCAACCGGGGAACUGCAUUCGAUACUGCGUUGCUUGAGUGCCGGAGAGGGUGGCGGAAUUCCAGGUGUAGGAGUGAAAGCCGUAGAUACCUGGAGGAACACCAGAGGCGAAGGCGGCCCCCUGGCCGUCACCUGACGCUGAGGUGCGAAAGCGUUGGGAUCAAACAG